UACGAAGGGGGCUAGCGUUGCUCGGAAUUACUGGGCGUAAAGGGCGCGUAGGCGGCACUGUUAGUCAGGCGUGAAAGUCCUGGGCUCAACCUGGGAACUGCGCUUGAUACGGCAGAGCUAGAGGAUGGAAGAGGGUCGCGGAAUUCCCAGUGUAGAGGUGAAAUUCGUAGAUAUUGGGAAGAACACCGGUGGCGAAGGCGGCGACCUGGUCCAUUACUGACGCUGAGGCGCGAGAGCGUGGGGAGCAAACCGG
Molecule: ribosomal RNA, 253 nt
Filed under: uncultured bacterium
Lineage: Bacteria
Description: partial 16S ribosomal RNA
Rfam family: Bacterial small subunit ribosomal RNA
Source: RNAcentral